UAAGCAUUGUACCGUUAAAUUAUUUAUAAAAUUGAAAAAAAUCGACAUGAUUCCGAUUAUAUAGAGUCUAAUUACCGGACUUAUUAUUAGCCAUAUUACUUACAUUAUUUUUGCCGCUUAAACUUAUUAAUGUACAGCUGGUAUAUUGACAUUUUUCAUUCAGAUUUUUUGGGAAAACUUUCAUCCAUUGAUUUUUCUGUGAAUCCGUGACGUAUUUAUAUUUGAUGAUUUCGAUGAGCAUGAUUUAUGAUAUAUUAUUUCGGUUAAUUGUGGCCCGCAAUGACAAAGCGUAUUGGCCUGUCAACAGAAAUGUGAAAUUUUAUUUUUUAUU
Non-coding RNA from Cinara cedri, 331 nucleotides. The record is from the annotation of a GenBank genome assembly. Lineage: Eukaryota; Metazoa; Arthropoda; Insecta; Hemiptera; Aphididae.